RNAcentral lists this ribosomal RNA (501 nucleotides) under Bacillus sp. (in: firmicutes). RNAcentral describes it as "bacterial SSU rRNA". It matches the Rfam family "Bacterial small subunit ribosomal RNA", at positions 383 to 875 of the family's 1533-position model. The record is from RNAcentral. Lineage: Bacteria; Bacillati; Bacillota; Bacilli; Caryophanales; Bacillaceae.
CUGACGGAGCAACGCCGCGUGAGUGAUGAAGGUUUUCGGAUCGUAAAGCUCUGUUGUUAGGGAAGAACAAGUGCGAGAGUAACUGCUCGCACCUUGACGGUACCUAACCAGAAAGCCACGGCUAACUACGUGCCAGCAGCCGCGGUAAUACGUAGGUGGCAAGCGUUGUCCGGAAUUAUUGGGCGUAAAGGGCUCGCAGGCGGUUUCUUAAGUCUGAUGUGAAAGCCCCCGGCUCAACCGGGGAGGGUCAUUGGAAACUGGGAAACUUGAGUGCAGAAGAGGAGAGUGGAAUUCCACGUGUAGCGGUGAAAUGCGUAGAGAUGUGGAGGAACACCAGUGGCGAAGGCGACUCUCUGGUCUGUAACUGACGCUGAGGAGCGAAAGCGUGGGGAGCGAACAGGAUUAGAUACCCUGGUAGUCCACGCCGUAAACGAUGAGUGCUAAGUGUUAGGGGGUUUCCGCCCCUUAGUGCUGCAGCUAACGCAUUAAGCACUCCGCCUG